This is a non-coding RNA of Caretta caretta (loggerhead turtle), 16154 nucleotides long. The record is from RefSeq and is a predicted model, not a curated record. Lineage: Eukaryota; Metazoa; Chordata; Testudines; Cheloniidae.
CGGGCCGGGCCGGGCAGCACCAGGGCGGGCCGGGCCGGGCCGGGCUAAGCAGCAGCUGGGCGGUCACGGGCCGGGCAGCACCAGGGCGCCUGGGUUGGGCCGGGCCGGGCCGUGCAGCACCCAGGCGGGUUGGGCCGGGCCGGGCCGGGCCGUGCAGCACCCAGGCGGGCUGGGCUGGGCUGGGCCGGGCCAUGCAGCACCCAGGCGGGUUGGGCCGGGCCGGGCCGUGCAGCACCCAGGCGGGCUGGGCUGGGCCAGGCCGGGCCGGGCAGCGCCCGGGCGGGCUGGGCCUGGCCGGGCCGGGCCGGGCAGCACUGGCGGGGCCCCCGGGGCGCAGAGCGCCGGGCUCGCAGACCCCGCAGCGGGUGGAAAGCCCAUUACUUUACGGUGCCUCAGCCGGGGCCUGCGGCAGGAGCCCGGACUCGUUAAAAGGUCACCGCUGCUGCCGAGCCGGGCUCUCCGGGGAGGGGCGCGGAGAGGGGCCCUCCCGGUGGCCCCAGCCCGGCUCCGCUCCGGGCACGGGAGGCUCCUGAUUGUCUCGACCACGUGCAGGGUCAGGCCUGGACGCUUGGCCUUGCCCGGCUUCCCGGUCAGAGCCCGAGUUUUUCUGAGAAGUGUGAAGUAGUGCAGUGCGGCAGAGAGCUACUCCCAGGGCACUCGGGGAGCAGGAGAGGGCCCAUAAGGGAAAGCAAAGUAAUAGUUCUUGUAGGUUUUAGUCUGAAAACUGACUGCUCAAAUGGGCUGCUUCUUACCAAAAAGACUGUUACCUACCUUCCCCUAGCAGCUGUUCUUUGGGAGGGGUUGCACAUGUCCACACUGUAGGCAUGUACCUGUUUCGGGCAGUCGAGAGAGAACCUUUCCCCAAGCCGUACCUGUCUGGGCCGGAGGGGCACUGCCUGCCACUGCCAGCAGUCUAAGACUCCACUAGAGAGAGGAAGGAAGGUAGCUUGUGGAAUGGACAUUUCAAAGAACAACACUUUGGAAAGGUCCUUCUCUGCAGAACUGCUGCCUAGCCCUUCGGUCCCUAGACUGUAGCGGUGCAUUGGAUUCUUCCAUCCUAACGGGUGCAACAGAUAAUCCAGUCUGGUUAAUGGAAGCCUGCACUGAAGAGACAUUUCUCUGCUGAGACCAGGUAGAAAAAUGUUUCCAUUUGGCCAGGACUCUAGGUAGUAAUGGAAUCGGAGGAAAGGCGUUCAGCAGGGAGUUCAUCCGUGAUAGCUGGAAAGCAUCUGUCAAAGACCCAGGGCUGGAACUCCCUCAGCAGCAGAACAGGAGGCAUUUGUUGCAAACAGGUCCAUGUGGGAAGUUUCCCCAGAGCUGGAAGAUGAGCCUAGCGACAUCUGGACCUAGUGACCAUUCAUGGCGAGGGGACAAAGACCUGCUCAGGAACAUGAUGAACUUGCGGUGGUCUAGAGGGAUCACUAUAUGGAAGUAACCAUCCUUUAAGUCGAGGGCAGCAUACCAGUAGCCCUGUUCAGGGAAGGAAUGAUGGCAGCUAGGAUAACCCUGGGGAUCUUCAUUUUCUUCAGGAUACACCAGGGUUGUGUCUUCCUCCUCAAACUCACUCUCAGAUGUGCAGAAUAGGGGGAGCAAGAGGUUUCUAUGCACUGUCUUUAUUUGCCCUGGACCGUCUUCAGGUUUGAUCUUGUAGACCGGCAGAUCUCCCAGCUUUUCAGUCACCAGGAUGACAGCAAGGAGGACCAAUUUGUACCAACUACGGUGCGGACAUCUGUCCACUAAGAAGUAAUCCUUCCAGCCUGGAAAUUCAGGUCACAUACAGUAAGGGGCAGCAAAUGGCCAUCAUGAGGGAUGGCUUUUCACCACCACGUGGGAUGGCUUUUCACCACCACUGGCCUGGCCUGGCCUCAGACCAACAGAGAUCUGCCUCACAGAGCUUCCUCCCUGGAAACUCCCUCCUCAGGGGCUGCCACAGGAGCCUACCCUUCCUACAGCACCUCUCCACAGUCCCCCAAACUUCAAUCCAAGCACCCCUUAAGCUUUACUAUUACUGCCUUUUGUGCUUCAUUGCCUCUAGCUCCUCACAACUAAAGAAAACAUGCCUAUCAUCCUAGACUUUGCAGCCCCUAGCCUCCCAGACUUCUUUCGAGCUCAGGACCCACUAGCUCUGAAAUCAAGCCUCUCUCACACAGGUUUCUUCCCUGCCCCUUUUUCCACUGCCUUGUGCUUCUUCUUUCAUGAAGACCCAGUUGGGUUUGAUCACCAGUAAUGCCUAACACCCCUCCAGGUGCCACACUAUAGCCUAACUGGGCUCAGGCUCCUGUUAACCCUGAUUAACCAGUGUGGUGUUUAUACACCCACUCCAUCAAAUGACAUUUCUAGGGGGAAGAGGGCAUGCCACAGGACUGCACACCCAGCUGAACAGUGUGCCUCAACAUAUUCAGAAAUGGUCAUGCAAACGCCAGAAAAAAUAUACAGAGAAGGGGGAAAGCCAUUCCAUGGCUGGGGGCGUUACUGAGCUCAUGUUGAAAAAGGAAGUACUUUCCUAAGUGAGUGAGCAACUCUAAUUUUGCAAGGAUGGAAUAUGCCAUUAAAAUACUGCAUCCCACAUUAAACCACAGAUUUCCAUUCAGUUCUGGUGUCUCUUUGCAACUCCUUCCUGGUGAGGAACAGCAGGGAUCACCAUUCACCUAUAUGAGCUAACGCCUUUUUGUACUGCCACACUCCUGUUAUUGUUCUGUCUAUAGUCUUUCUAAUAGCGUUACUGCUACACGUUAUGGAAGUGGAAGUGCCUUAGUCCAAGAGGAAAUUGGGUGACUUGCCUGUGUUGUGUUUUAUGCUUGUUUGUUAUUAUUAUUAUUCCUGAUUAUUAUCAGCACUGCAAUGGCACAUGGACAUACUGAUCAAGAUCUGUGCUAUGGUUGUGUUGGCCACUGUACGAACGUGAAAGAAAAGAUGGUUCCCUGCCCCAAAGCUUUUAUGGACAUUGAUUUGAAUCCAAAUGAGUCAAGUAGCAGCAGUGUCUACAGAGAUGAGAUUCACAUUAUGGACAAGGCAUAGAAAUAUGUGCAGUGGGCUGCACCGCACACGCUCUCCUGUGUGAGGGCCACCAUAGUACCGAGUGGUGGAAUAAAAUACACACUGUCACAUGUUCUGUUUCUACCACCCCAAGGGGAAGCUGAGGAUGUCCUAAGUUUCAACAGGGGCAUCAGAUUCCACUGUGGGCCAUAGCACUGCCUGGAUCUCUGGAGCACUGUGUGCUCUGGCCCCAUUCCUGACAAGCCUAUUUUGCCCAUAGCCACACCCCAUCUCCUAGGGCUUGUGAGAGAUUCCCAGAAGACAACUUUACAAUGUCGUCUACCAGGACUGAGCUGGAGGAAUCUUCCCCCAGACAGUUACAGGGCUUUUCGUGCCCGUGUACACCACCCCAGCACUUUUACCCAGCACAAAGGAGCUUGUGAUUGGAGGGUGCUGGGGGGAGUGGUGUUCAGGAUCUUACCUUUGCUUCUUCAUUACCACAGAGAGAAUUCAUUGACUUCCUUGUCUGAUAUUGGGAUAUAGUGCUCUCAUGCCACACAAUGAAGCUUGUACUUGUAAUCCACAGAGAAUCAUAGCAAUGUAGGGCUGUAAGUGUUAAAUUGGAGCCUUAUAGUUAAAUAUAUGUAACAGAAACAACGUGGGCAAAGUCUGCAUAAGGAAUACCAGGAGAUAUAUUGCUUAGAAGCUUUUGUUUAAAAGUUAUUCGCAGUAUCUCAACUAUAUGUUUUCUGUGUGUUACAUAUUUGUUUUACUAAGAAACUGUAUUUUAGUCUCUCUUUGGAGUUGACUGGGAAGUACUAACACCUACGAAUCAGCAUUUUAUGUACAUAGCCCAGAGGGUAAUUCUGUGUCAUACUUUCUGAAAAAUCUGAAAAGGGAAAACAUUGAGCUUCAGCAAAGACUUAAGCUGAGGUGCAGAAGAAAGGAGAGUGUACGAGCAUUGUACAUAACAUUGCCAUCCCUCUGCCCUGUUAUUCAUGAUGAUUUGGAGGUCAUUCUGAGACUUCAUACUGCUGUUAUUUUCCAAUUUGAAAAAUCAGGUAGUGUAUCCAAAAGUAUCCACUCCCUACAGUUACUAGAUGCUGUGCUGGUUAGGGUUGUAGGAGUUCCUGAGCAGACAUCGACAGAUUACUGUAAGGAUUUGAUAGUUGAGGGAAGGUAGUGGGUCUGUCACCAGGGGUGGGUGCCUGUGAGUUUAUCUUUGUAGCAUAUAUUCAAAAAAUAUUUGAAUCAAUCAAUCAAAUUUGUGCUCCAUCCAGAUCACAGAACAUCUGGAAAUACCAAGGAGCUGCACAGAAAAUCUGCCAAACUUGCGCAGUGGUCUCCUCUGAUACCACCUCAAAGUUGAGCAGAGAGAGAAGAACCUUCCCCCUCUACCUUUCAGAUGACAUUAGAAGGGAACCAACAGCCCUGGUUCACUUUCAGAUGGGCCCUGGUAUUUACAAAUUCAAAUCUCACAUAGUCUGUAGGAAGAGCGCAUUCUGGGGCACAAGUGCUCAAGGCCUAGCUAUUUCAAAGGUAAAAGAAAAUGUUAUUCCUCCUCCUAACAACCCGUAUUGGUAGAAAAGAUACUUUUCUGAAUACAGUCAGGCCCAUGCACACACCCAUUUUUUAAUCACCGAUGUGCUAGGUGUAAAACUGAUAGCCUUCAUCUUUUCAGACAUGUUUCACAAUAGGAAUGGGCCAUGUCACUGAGCACUGAUCAAGAAGCCCAUUCUGAGAAUCAAUGAGUGUUUAAUGAGUUUCAGAUUUUGAAAUAGCAUGAACAGUUUUAGCUUUUGGCAUCUUCAGAUAUAUUUGCUUUAAAAACUCAAAUAGUGUCAUCAUUUCUGCAUAUUUCCUCUUUCUGGAGAGAUAGAUCCCACAGGGAGAUCUCAGCAUGUACUUAGGGACAUCAACCACUAGAUGUCCUCAUACCUCUUCAAAAACUCUGCAGUAUUUCUGUGCAUUAAUGUUCCACAUUUCACAAUAAAAACUAGAACUGACCAAAUAGUGGAAAAAUCUUCCACAAAUAUUCAUUUGGAUUAAAACAAUUAUCUCUUCCCAUGAGCCUUUCAUUUUAAAGCAUUCAAGCUUUAGUAGUGCAAAUACUCACUGCAAACCAAAUGUUAUGACAAGUAUCCUUCAGUGUUUGCUAAAAGCAAUUUUUCAGUUCUAUAGUCAAUUGUAAUGUUCUAAAUUUGAAAUUCAUACUGCAUUGAUCAGUCACUGUUAAAAACAAUUAAUUUAGAUUUAGAUAUAACACUAAGCAUCCUCCAAGAUGGCUUAAUGUGCCUUGCCAUUACAUAAAAUCACGAAUCAGAAAUAAAUACAUUAGGCUAUGUCUACACUAGAGAGCUUACAAUGGCAUGGCUGUACCGAUGCAGAUGCGCUGCUAUAAGAUCUCUUGGGUAGCUGCUCUAUGCUGGUGGUAGAGAGCUCUCCCGCUGACAUGAUUAAAUCACCUCCCACCAAUAUAGUGCUGUGCACCCCUAGUGACAGACCCACAACCCUCCCUCAACUGCUUAAGCCAGCAAAACUUAUGUUGCUAGGAGGGAGGUUUUUUCACACCUCUGAGCAACAUAAGUUUUGCCAACAUAAGUGGUAGUGUAGACAUGGUCUCAUUCCUACCUAUCUUCAAAUACAAACAGUAAUUACCCCACAAUAUCCCAAACUAUGCCCUGUCCCUCUCACCUAGCCCUUCUUAAAGCCAAAACUAGGCUAACUAACAAACACUGAAUACUGAAUAUUCAGGAUGAAUUGUUCACAAGCUAUUUGUGUAAGAAAAACAGUAUGUGAAUGAUUUUGGAUCUAUAGUUUCAGGGCCUCCCUGCACUGUACCGUGUGCAGUCAUUUAACUCGGUGCCCAAGUGCUACAAUUGUGUUUUGGGAGCAUUUCACAGCCACUUUGCACAGAUUUAUUUGACUACACAAGGUGAUGGGGAACAGUCAACAUGGAUUCACCAAGGGCAAGUCACACCUGACCAAAUGGAUUGCCUUCUAUGAUGAGAUAACUGGCUCUGUUGAAGGUUAAAGAAUGGUGGUGACUAUUUUCAGUUAGAAUGCCCAUAGCCUAAUAGCGUAUGGACAGGAAUUAUUAAAUGAAAUUAUUAAAUGAAAAAUAUUAUUGAUAUGAAAACAAAGCAUGAGAUAAUAUGCGUACAAGAGACUUGGCUAACAGGAAAACUAGAUUAUAAAAUCCCACCAUGUGGUGUAAAGAAACAGGAAAGGAUGAGGUGUCUGCAUCUUCAUGAAGGAGAACCCUGAACUAUCUUGAAGUAGAGAUUAAAAAGCUAAAUAUCAAAUAUAAUGUUACUGAGAUACUGAUGCAAAACAAUUCUUGCAUCUUUAAGACUUUAUAAUAUUUAUAACCCAUGCAAGAAACUAGAGGGGAUGGACCUGAAAGAAUUAAUUACAGAUGUCACAUGCCCAUUCAUUAUCUGUGCUGAUCUGAAUAGUUACAACAGAUUGUGGGAAAGUAAGAAAAAUGAUAAAAAUGGAAAAUGUUUAGAGUAGGGGUAGUCAAUUAUUUUUUGUCAAGGUCCAAAUUUCUUGGUCAAGGUCUAGUCAAGGUCCAGACUCCAGAGAAAAUAAAUACAAACAUAACAAUCAUCAUCAUCAUAAGUAAAUAAAAAGAUUUUGGGGUCCGUUCAAAACGUCUGGUGGUUCGGAUUCGGCCCAUUGACUACCACUGGUUUAGAGCAAUUCUUUGAAGAGAAUAAGUUAGUAAUAUUAAAUGAUAGAACCCUGGCCAGGUUCAAUAUAGCUGACAGAAGUGUCACAUGCUUGGCUCUGGGAAUAGCUUCUAGUACCAUAGCAAGUAAAUGCAGCUGGGAAAAUUACAGAGAAGAGGGAAUGGGUAGUGACCACAUCCUGACGUUAAUUACAUAUCAAGGAAAAGGAAAUAUCAAAGAUGAGGAUAAUAUCUCUACUUGGAAUCUAAGAAAAGCAAUUGGAAGCUCGUUAGAAAUGAAAGUGUGGAAUAUGUGAAUGAGCAACGUGUAAAUGACGAUAUUGAGGAAUUCUGUCAUAAUGCUACUAAGGGAAUCAUAAAUGCAGCCAGCCUAGCUAUUCCUAGGAUACCAACAUCACUCAGAGAUAGGCAAAGGGUACCAUGGUGGAAUAAGGAAUGUGAAGUGGUAAUCAGGGAAAGGAAUAAGGCAUAUAAGACAGCAAAAAAUUCCUUACCUAGCAAGGAUUUAAUGAAAUAUUUUUAAAAAAUGAAAAAAAGACAGUUGCACAAAGGACUAUAAAAAGGGCAAAAAGAGACAUCUGGAGAACAUAUUGCAGGAAAGUCAAUAAAGAUGCCAAUACUGUAGAGCAGGGGUAGGCAACAUGAGCUGAUUUUCAGUGGCACUCACACUGCCCGGGUCGUGGCCAACCAUCCAGGGGGCUCUGCAUUUUAAUUUAAUUUUAAAUGAAGCUUCUUAAACAUUUUAAAAACCUUAUUUACUUUACAUACAACAAUAGUUUAGUUAUAUAUUAAAGACUUAUAGAAAGAGACCUUCUAAAAACGUUAAAAUGUAUUACUGGCACGUGAAACCUUAAAUUAGAGUGAAUAAAUGAAGACUCGGCACACCACUUCUGAAAGGUUGCUGACCUCAAAAUCUGUAAUUUUCCCAGCUGCAUUUGCUGUACAGGUAUAUAAACAACUUAGGAAAAUAAAUGGAAUAUAGAGUAAGACCUACAUGAUACCAAGCCAUGCAUUUACAAGUCAUGAUAUAAUAAGCACCAGCAAAGAAAAAGUAGAAAUUCUGGCCACCAUGUUUUAAAAAAUCUGUAAUGAUGAGGAUAGAGGACAGAAAUUUGGGAUAGGAAAAGAACAUUAAUUAUGGAGAAUUAUGAGAUGAUGAAGAGAUGGGAGGAGGAUGUAGAUAAGAUUUUAAAUGAAAACUUUAGUAUGAGAGUAUGUUUUAAAAUAAAUGAAUAAAUAAUAUAUAAAGGUGAGAAAAAACAGACCUCAACUCUAUUGUCCCUCUGCAAAUUUGUGUACACAGAGUCAAUCCCUUACCUCUCUCUAAAAGUGCAAAGUUUCAAAAAGUUCAAUGAAUAGAAGAUUGUUCGGGGCGGAACAGAUCUGGACAAGGAGAAGUCUGGAGAUAAAUGUGAGAAGGGAGGGACAGGCAGUAGAAACAAAAGUGAAACUGUUUGCACAGCAUACUCCAGUAGUCUUGAGGUCUUUCUGAGUGUAGCCUUCAUUGAUUCGAGAUCUACCAUACCAUUCUCUCACUAGAGGGAAAAACCUAUAAUGGCCACAGGCCGUAAAAGAGACCCAGUUUGGGAAUAUUUUAAUGAAGUUCCUCUAUCUCUGGGUAAGACAGGUAUGCGUGCAAAAUGCAGACAGUGCUACAAAUAAAUGCAAGGCCUGGUUGCCCGAAUUAAACAACAUUGUGAGAAGUGUUCCUUCUCAGGAGGAAGCCUUGUUGAUAGGGGGGAAAUGGUAGACAUGGUAUAUCUUGACUUUAGUAAAGCUUUUCAUACUGUUUCACAUGACCUUCUCAUAAACAAACUAGGGAAAUGCAACCUAGAUGGAGCUACUAUAAGGUGGGUGCAAAACUAGUUGGAAAACCGACUGCAGAGAGUAGUUUUCAGUAGUUCACAGUCAUGCUUGAAGGGCAUAAUGAGUGGGGCCACGCAGGGAUCGGUUCUGUUCAAUAUCUUCAUCAAUGAUUUAGAUAAUGGUAUAGACAGUACACUUAUUAAGUUUGCAGACGACACCAAGCUGGGAGGGGUUGCAAGUGCUUUGGAGGAUAAGAUUAAAAUUCAAAAUGAAUUGGACAAACUGGAGAAAUGGUCUGAAGUAAAGAGGAUUAAAUUAAAUAAGGACAAAUGCAAAGCACUCCAUUUAGGAAGGAACAAUCAGUUGCAUGCAUACAAAAUGGGAAAUGACUGCCUAGGAAGGAGGACUACAGAAAGGGAUCUGGGGGUCAUAGUGGACCACAAACUAAAUGUGAGUCAACAUUGUAACACUUCUGCAAAAAAAGUGAACAUCAUUCUGGGAUGUGUUAAUAGGAGUGCUGUAAGCAAGACACGAGAAGUAAUUCUUCUGCUCUAUUCCGCUCUGAUUAGGCCUCAACUGGAGUAUUGUGUCUAGUUCUGGGCGCCACAUUUCAGGAAAGAUGGGGACAAAUUAGAGAAAAUCCAGAGAAAAGCAACAAAAAUGAUUAAAGGUCUAGAAAACAUGGUCUAUGAAGGAAGAUUGAAAAAAAUUGGGUUUGUUUAGUCUGGAGAAGAGCAGACUGAGAGGGGAUAUGAUAACAGUUUUCAAGUACAUAAAAGGUUGUUAUAAGGAGGAGGGAGAAAAAUUGUUCUUCUUAACCUCUGAGGAUAGGACAAGAAGCAAUGGACUUAAAUUGCAGCCAGGGCCAUUUAGGUUGGACAUUAGGAAAAACUUCCUAACUGUCAGGGUGGUUAAGCACUGGAAUAAAUUGCCUAGGGAGGUUGUGGAAUCUCCAUCACUGGAGAUUUUUAAGAGCAGGUUAGACAAACCCCCAUCAGGGAUGAUCUAGAAAAUAGUUAGUCCUGCCAUGAGUGCAGGGGACUGGACUAGAUGACCUCUCGAGGUCUCUUCUAGGCCUAUAAUUCUAUGAAAAAAGCUCUGAAAUGCUUAAACACCUAAGUGAAGGAAGCUUGAGGGUGAUACUAAAAUUAUAUAAUAGUGUAUGGAGAAAAGGUGAAAUACCUAAGGACUGGACACAUGCCAUUAGUUUCCCAGUGAAGAAACCGAGUAAGUUGAACUCAAGCCCUGAGGCAUACAUACCAAUUGCCCUCACAGCACGUUAGGUAAAACCAUGGAAAGAAUGGUAGCAGAGAGAUGAGUAGCACACCUGGAAAGACCUAUGUGCAUAGAUGGAACGCAAAGCGGAUUCAGAAGGGGUGGGAGUAUGAUUGACCACAUUGUUAGGAUAGAGACAGAACUACAAAAAAGCACGAGAACCAAAAGAUUCAUGAUAGUAACCUUCCUGGACAUAGAAAAAGCCUAUGGUGUGGUAUGGAGAGAAGGACUACUUCAUAAAGUGGCCUCAAUGGGUAAUAUAGGAAGAAUGUUCGGACGGUAAGGGCCUUCUAAAGCAAAAUAACUAUACAAGUCCAAAUAGAAAAAGCUUUUUCGAACAUAUAUUCAAUUGCAAAUGGAACGCCACAGGGAAGUGUAAUUAGCCCAACCCUCUUUAAUAUCGUGAUAAAUGACCUCUCUAAGGAGAGGAGUACAGGAAUAUGGAUCACAUUUUUUGCUGACAACUUGCCAAAUGGGCCCAAAGCAAAAAUUUUGAAAGCGCUGCCAAAAGAAUCAAUGAUGCACUUAAGAGAAAUGCAGAAUGAGGAAACAGGUGGGAUUUCAAAUUCUCCACAGUCUUCAGAUUCUAAGGGAAUGUUCUUCACAACAAGGAAAAUCCAAAAUGCUGUGAAGUUAUAUCGAUAUGACCAGCAGAUAAAUACAAUGAACAUUUUUGAAUUUUUAGGUGUGAUAUUUGAUAAUAAGCUCACUUGGAGGCACCAUAUUGAAAAUAUUAAAGAUGAGUGCAAAGGUAGAAUUAACUUACGUUAAAGUAUCUCUUGAACAUCCUGGGCAGUGGAUAAGAAAACAGUGGUAAUGCUCCCCGAGUGCUAAUUAGGCCUAUUAUUGUGUAUGGAUGCUAGGCAUUUCGUCCAGCAAGGAACACAGAUCUGAGAAAACUAGACUAUGUCCAAGCAUAAGCAUUGUAUACCACAUGUGGGGCCUUCAUUACUACACCUCGGUGUGUAUUAUACAUAGCAGCCAGUGAAAUGCCUAUCACUCUUAUAAGAAAGCUCUCAGACUUAACCUUUUGGGCCAAAGUAUUAGGUAACAGCAAAGAUGACAACACAAAGCUAAUAUAUAAUGACUGCUAGAAAUUAAGUGGAGACGGUAGAACAAAAACUCAAAAUUCCCUAUAUAAGUAGAGUACAGAAGUGGAUGAAGGCUCUUAAUGCAAAGAAAGGACUGAAAAAGACCCAAAUCUAUAGCUAUGGGAAAAUAUUCUGUUACUGGAAAACCAUCCCCCUGUGAUAGACAUGGAAUUAUAUAGUGAAAUAAAUAAGAGAAGACUGAUAAAUCUACAAGAUGUAGCAAAUAAAUAUAUUUGUGAUAAGUGGGGACACUAUUGCCAAAUAUCUACAAACAGCCCCAAAGAGGAAGGAACAGGAAGAGUGGGAACAGCUUUCUGCAGGCCCUCACUUGGACUCAAGAAAGCCAGAAGGCUACUAACUUUGUAUCCGUCUUUACAGCUGAGCUAACAGGGAUUAUACUAGCAAUAAACUGGGUUUUAGAUGUGCGGUCAGUUGCAGUGGCCAUUCUGUCUGACUCCUUAUCAGGACUGCAGGCAAUUUACAGUCCUGGUAAGUCUGACAGCAGAAAUGAUUUUCUUAAUGAAAUACUACUGCUAACAACCAAACUGGCUCAAUUGGAUAUAAGAAUAACUAUAAUUCUGAAUAUACUUGUUAUCAAUAUAAAUGUCCAGCUCUGGUUUGAGUCUUGUUAAAUUCCAUCUACACAGCAAAGAAAAACCUGCAGCUGGCCCGUGCCAGCCAAGUCGGGCUCGCAGGGCUUGGGCUGCGAGGCUGUUUCAUUGCUGUGUAGACACUCGGGCUGUAGCCCAAGCUCUGGGACCCUCCAGCCUCGCAGGGUCCUAGAGCCCAGGGUCCAGCCUGCCUGAGCCCAUAAGUCUACAUGGCAAUAAAACAGCCCCGCAGCCGUAGCCCUGUGAGCCCAAGUCGGCUGGCAUGGGCCAGCCAUGGGUGUCUAGCUGCUGUGUAGACAAACGAUAGUAAGAGCAUGGAUCCAGGUGCACGUAGGGAUAGCAGGGAACACAUUGUCAGACAAACAGGCAAAAAGUGCUAUUAAUCAUGAACAAAUUGACUUAGGGAUCCUCUUAAGCAAACAGAUAUUUAAUCAACUGAUAAAAAAUGAACUAAAAAAGGAAUGACCUGAACUGUGGGCAAAUUAAAGGAAGGGGAAAAAAUUCCAAGAAGUAUGCCCAACAGCUGAUAAUGUUGAUAUAAUAUAAGGCCCUGACAGAGAGAGCCAAGUGGCUCUAUUUAGAAUUCUAACACAGCAUUGUGAAUUAACAGAAAAUUUAUUUCUAAUUAGCAAACAUAAAAAUGGAUUAUCCAUAACAUAUAAGGUCCAGGAAAUAACAGAUCAUAUCCUUUCAGACUGUAAUAACUGUACCAAUGAAAGGAGGUGUUUAUAUAGGAAACUCGGAGGCCUUGAAGUAACUACAUUUUGUAGGCCUUGCAUGAACAAUGGAAGAAAAGGGAAGUAAGGAAGCAGAGAUUAACAACAGACAAAGCAUGAAUUCACAAGUGGCCUUGUAAAUAAUAUGUAGCUAGUAAAUAAAAAAAAUAGUAAGAAGAGUAAUGUGUGUAGUAGGAAGUGGGCCUGAAACAUAAGCCCAUAUAUCAGAGGCCUGGUAUGAGGCCUGAGACCUGGGCUAAAGUAGUCAAAACUUUGUGAUAUAAAGCAAAGUUAAGUUGUGAGCAAGAGGCAGGCCCUGCUCACAGAAUCUGGCAAGAACAGGACUGAUACUGCAGAAACACACAUUCCUAAGUAGUGCUAGGCAUAAGAAUAUAAAUGCAAACACAUUCCAGAAAGGUGGUACCAGAACACCCCGAUACCAAACACAUUCCCCAAAGAUAACAGAAACAUGCUGCCCCAUCUUAAGGAUAAGGUCAGGAUGACAGCAUGAUGAAUAAAGAUGUGUUGAUCGAACCUACAGGUACAAGGCAAUGGAUGGCACCCUAAUACAUCAGAGGGUGGCACCCUUAUACGUCAGGGGCGAUACGUAAUUUGUUUGCAUUGUGUACCUUAAUGUACCUUAGAGAGAGCGUCUGUGCCCAGCUGAGGGGACAGUGGAAAGUCCUGCCACUGACUGAGCUGCGUCCAUUGUCACGGGCAUACAUGUGCUAGUGUAACUGUAGACAUUGAUCUGGGGAGCGAGGACCAUGCUUUGCUGACAAUAAACCUGACCAAGUGCCUUCGCAUCUUCACAGAUUUUGUGGUCAUUUGGCAGUUCGCUGUAGAUCUCCUGUGCCAGCUGUCUGCGCACACAAGGAGAACACACACGCAGCCGAACAUCUGAUGACAAUGUGCUAGUAGCUUCUUACUGUUUUUUUAUCUACCAGCUACAUAUUAUUUACAAGGCCGCUUAUGAAUUCAUGCUUCGUCCAUUGUUAACCUUUGCUUCUUUACUUCUCUUUUCUGCAAAGUAAUGCACAUUGGAAAACAUAAUCCCAACUAUAUAUAUAGAAUGAUGGGGUCCAAAUUAGCUGUUACCACUCAAGAAAGGGAUCUUGGAGUCAUUGCGGAUAGUUAUCUGAAAACAUCCACUUGAUGUGCAGCAGCAGUCAAAAAAAAGCGAACAGAAUGUUGGGAACCAUUAAGAAAGGGAUAGAUGAUAAGACAGAAAAUAUCAUAUUACCACUAUAUAAAUCCAUGGUACUCCCACAUCUUGAAUACUCCAUGCAGAUGUGGUCACCUCAUCUCAAAAAAUAUACUGGAAUUGGAAAAGGGCAACAAAAAUUAUUAGGGGUAUGGAAUGGCUUCCGUAUGAGGAGAGAUUAAUAAAAUUGGGACUUUUCAUCUUGGAAAAGAGAUGACUAAUGGGGGAUAGCAAAGAGGUCUAUAAAAUCAUGACUGGUGUAGAGAAAGUAAAUAAGGAAGUGUUAUUUACUCCUUCUCAUAACACAAGAACUAGGAGUCACCAAAUGAAGUUAAUAGGCAGCAGGUUUAAAAUAAACAAAAGUGAAGUAUUCUUUCACACACCGCAGUCAGUCUGUGGAACGCUUUGCCAGAGGAUGUUGUGAAGCCCAAGACAAUAACAGGGUUCAAAAAAGAACUAGAUACGUUCAUGGAGGAUAGGUUCAUCAAUGGCUAUUAGCCAGGAUGGGCAGGGAUGGUGUCCCUAACCUCUGUUUGUGCUAGGAAUGGGCGAUAGGAGAUGGAUCACUUGAUCCAUCUUUAAAAAAGGGAAGGAGGAGGAUCCAGGGAACUACAGGCCAGUCAGCCUCACCUCGGUCCCUGGAAAAAUCAUGGAGCAAGGUCCUCAAGGAAUCAAUUCUGAAGCACUUAGAGGAGAGGAAAGUGAUCAGGAACAGUCAGCAUAGAUUCACCAAGGGCAAGUCAUGCCUAACUAACCUAAUUGCCUUGUAUGACGAGAUAACUGGCUCUGUGGAUGAGGAGAAAGCAGUGGACAUGUUACUCCUUCACUUCAGGAAAGCUUUUGAUAUGGUCUCCCACAGUAUUCUUGCCAGCAAGUUAAAGAAGUAUGGGCUGGAUGAAUGGACUAUAAGGUGGAUAGAAAGCUGGCUAGAUCAUCGGGCUCAACGGGUAGUGAUCAAUGGCUCCAUGUCUAGUUGGCAGCCAGUAUCAAGCAGAGUGCCCCAAGGGUCGGUCCUGGGGCCAGUUUUGUUCAAUAUCUUCGUUAAUGAUCGGGAGGAUGGUGUGGAUUGCACCCUCAGCAAGUUUGCAGAUGACACUAAACUGGGAGGAGAGGUAGAUACGCUGGAGGGUAGGGAUAGGAUACAGAGAGACCUAGACAAAUUAGACGAUUGGGCCAAAAGAAAUCUGAUGAGGUUCAACAAGGACAAGUGCAGAGUCCUGCACUUAGGAUGGAAGAAUUCCAUGUACCGCUACAGACUAGGGACCGAAUGGCUAGGCAGCAGUUCUGCAGAAAAGGACCUAGGGGUUACAGUGGACGAGAAGCUGGAUAUGAGUCAACAGUGUGCCCUUGUUGCCAAGAAGGCCAAUGGCAUUUUAGGCUGUAUAAGCAGGAGUGUUGCCAGCAGAUCGAGGGAAGUGAUCGUUCCCCUCUAUUCGGCAUUGGUGAGGUCUCAUCUGGAGUACUGUGUUCAGUUUUGGGCCCCACACGACAAGAAGGAUGUGGAAAAAUUGGAAAGCGUCCAGCAGAGGGCACCAAAAAUGAUUAGGGGGCUGCAGCACAUGAUUUAUGAGGAGAGGCUGAGGGAACUGGGAUUGUUUAGUCUGCAGAAGGGAAGAAUGAGGGGGGAUUUGAUAGCUACCUGAAAGGGGGUUCCAAAGAGGAUGGAUCUAGUAGCAGAUGACAGAACGAGGAGUAAUGGUCUCAAGUUGCAGUGGGGGAGGUUUAGGUUGGAUAUUAGGAAAAACUUUUUCACUAGGAGGGUAGUGAAGCAUUGGAACGCGUUACCUAGGGAGGUGGUAGAAUCUCCUUCCUUAGAGGUUUUUAAGGUCAGGCUUGACAAAGCCCUGGCUGAGAUGAUUUAGUUGGGGAUUGGUCCUGCUUUGAGCAGGGGGUUGGACUAGAUGACCUCCUGAGGUCCCUUCCAACUCUGAUAUUCUAUGAUUAUCUGUUCUGUUCAUUCCCUCUGGGGUACCUGGCAUUGGCCACUGUCGGAAGACAGGAUACUGGGCUAGAUGUAUAGGUGGCUGGUGAACCAGCUGUUGGGGGAGGCUAACCCCUUGCCCCUCACCUUCUGCCUGAGGUAUUUUAAACAAAUAUCUAUGGAAACGUGGCUGACCAAAAUAAAAUAAUUAAAAGAGAUGGAAUGACUUACUGCCUGCCUUCAAUUAACUACUGAAGUGUUCAAGCAAGAUUGGCCAAAUGGAAUUAAUGGAUUAAAAAAAAAUGAUGUAACUUUUCUAAAAAAAUAUAUACCUAGUACAUUUACUGUGAUUUAUAAUCUGUACUGUCUCAACACUGCUGUCUUCCUUUAUUCAUUGUAUUUGACAUCCCCUCUUUUAAUACUUACAACAGAAAAUUAUUUUACUGACUAUAAGUCUGUUAAUUUGUAAUAAAAAGUUAGUAACUAAAUUACGUCAGUAGAGUCUGAACUAUUUAAUUCUUGGAAGAAAAGAGGCAAAUGCCAGUUAAACACCAAGCCACCUGCCAAAGCAAUGGCAAGAGGGGAUAAAACUGUCCAACACAGGGCAGGGCUUAACAUCUUUAAAACCAGAGUUUCUGGAUUUCCUCUUCCCAGAACUCCAAUAAAAAUUGAAACUUUUUGUGAAGUGCCCAUCUCUAGCAGGCACUCCUCACUCAGCAGGAGCUCCAGUCUGAAUAACUUGCAUGUUUCCUCUCUCUUCCUAAGCACUGGCAGGACGCACAGUUUGUUUAAUUAGUAUAGGCAGAGCUCCAGUUCUGCCUGACUAUUCACACAAGCAAUGUCACGAAGACCUGGUGCAG